UACGGAGGUGGCAAGCGUUGUCCGGAAUUAUUGGGCGUAAAGCGCGCGCAGGCGGCCUCUUAAGUCAGAGGUGAAAGCCCCCGGCUCAACCCGGGAGGGCCAUUGGAAACUGGGUGGCUUGAGUAUAGGAGAGAAGAGUGGAAUUCCACGUGUAGCGGUGAAAUGCGUAGAGAUGUGGAGGAACACCAGUGGCGAAGGCGACUCUUUGGCCUAUAACUGACGCUAAGGCGCGAAAGCGUGGGAGGCAACCAGG
Molecule: unclassified non-coding RNA, 253 nt
Filed under: uncultured Caryophanales bacterium
Lineage: Bacteria; Bacillati; Bacillota; Bacilli; Caryophanales
Description: uncultured Bacillales bacterium contains 16S-23S intergenic spacer region
Rfam family: Bacterial small subunit ribosomal RNA
Source: RNAcentral